RNAcentral lists this ribosomal RNA (497 nucleotides) under uncultured bacterium. Its description in RNAcentral is "partial 16S ribosomal RNA". It matches the Rfam family "Bacterial small subunit ribosomal RNA", at positions 28 to 507 of the family's 1533-position model. The record is from RNAcentral.
GAUGAACGCUGGCGGCGUGCCUAAUACAUGCAAGUCGAGCGAACAGACGAGGAGCUUGCUCCUUCGACGUUAGCGGCGGACGGGUGAGUAACACGUAGGUAACCUACCUAUAAGACUGGGAUAACUUCGGGAAACCGGAGCUAAUACCGGAUAAUAUUUCGAACCGCAUGGUUCGAUAGUGAAAGAUGGCUUUGCUAUCACUUAUAGAUGGACCUGCGCCGUAUUAGCUAGUUGGUAAGGUAACGGCUUACCAAGGCAACGAUACGUAGCCGACCUGAGAGGGUGAUCGGCCACACUGGAACUGAGACACGGUCCAGACUCCUACGGGAGGCAGCAGUAGGGAAUCUUCCGCAAUGGGCGAAAGCCUGACGGAGCAACGCCGCGUGAGUGAUGAAGGUCUUCGGAUCGUAAAACUCUGUUAUUAGGGAAGAACAAACGUGUAAGUAACUGUGCACGUCUUGACGGCACCUAAUCAGAAAGCCACGGCUAACUACGUG